RNAcentral lists this ribosomal RNA (427 nucleotides) under uncultured Psychrobacter sp. RNAcentral describes it as "bacterial SSU rRNA". It matches the Rfam family "Bacterial small subunit ribosomal RNA", at positions 355 to 774 of the family's 1533-position model. Lineage: Bacteria; Pseudomonadati; Pseudomonadota; Gammaproteobacteria; Moraxellales; Moraxellaceae. The record is from RNAcentral.
UGGGGAAUAUUGGACAAUGGGGGAAACCCUGAUCCAGCCAUGCCGCGUGUGUGAAGAAGGCCUUUUGGUUGUAAAGCACUUUAAGCAGUGAAGAAGACCUAGUGGUUAAUACCCAUUAGCGAUGACAUUAGCUGCAGAAUAAGCACCGGCUAACUCUGUGCCAGCAGCCGCGGUAAUACAGAGGGUGCAAGCGUUAAUCGGAAUUACUGGGCGUAAAGCGAGCGUAGGUGGCUUAUUAAGUCAGAUGUGAAAUCCCCGGGCUUAACCUGGGAACUGCAUCUGAUACUGGUGAGCUAGAGUAGGUGAGAGGGAGGUAGAAUUUCAGGUGUAGCGGUGAAAUGCGUAGAGAUCUGAAGGAAUACCGAUGGCGAAGGCAGCCUCCUGGCAUCAUACUGACACUGAGGUUCGAAAGCGUGGGUAGCAAACA